AUAAUAUUCAACUGCAUAUUUUAACUGUGUAUAUAAACGGCAACACGUAAGGAGCGUAGUGCAAUUUCAUAUCUGCUGCCGUUGCUGGUGCAUCAUUGAAAUUUGCGAGAUAUUUCCCUGGCACCAUGUCGCCCAAGGUCGUAAUAUUAGCGUUCGCAAUUCUGGUGGCUAUAUUCCUCCAUGGUCCGAGUGAAGCGAUUCAACCCGUGACAAUACAGCCGUACCCUUUGUGUUACUGGAUUUGUCAACCUAACCCUGUGGGUGACCCCCUGGUCUGUGACCGCUGCCACUACCAAGUGGGGACAUGUGUGUCCUUCUACUACCCGAAAUGCUAUGUUACUGGACGAAACUGCGCCAAAAGCAACUGGUACGCCAUCAAGUGCUGCCCUCAUCACCACUGUUAGCUAGAAAGAAACCCACGUGUU
Lingula anatina is the source of this 425-nucleotide long non-coding RNA. The record is from RefSeq and is a predicted model, not a curated record. Lineage: Eukaryota; Metazoa; Brachiopoda; Lingulata; Lingulida; Lingulidae.